CAGAAGGUAGUUUAAGAAAAAUUUGGGUUUUGGAAAUCUAAGAUGCUGUAAAGUCUUUCUGA
Molecule: transfer RNA, 62 nt
Filed under: Tesseropora rosea
Lineage: Eukaryota; Metazoa; Arthropoda; Thecostraca; Balanomorpha; Tetraclitidae
Description: tRNA-Pro
Source: RNAcentral